RNAcentral lists this ribosomal RNA (1136 nucleotides) under Bacillus sp. (in: firmicutes). RNAcentral's name for it is "bacterial SSU rRNA". It matches the Rfam family "Bacterial small subunit ribosomal RNA", at positions 40 to 1158 of the family's 1533-position model. The record is from RNAcentral. Lineage: Bacteria; Bacillati; Bacillota; Bacilli; Caryophanales; Bacillaceae.
CAGGGGGCAGCUAUACAUGCAGUCGAGCGGACCGACGGGAGCUUGCUCCCUUAGGUCAGCGGCGGACGGGUGAGUAACACGUGGGUAACCUGCCUGUAAGACUGGGAUAACUCCGGGAAACCGGGGCUAAUACCGGAUGCUUGAUUGAACCGCAUGGUUCAAUCAUAAAAGGUGGCUUUUAGCUACCACUUACAGAUGGACCCGCGGCGCAUUAGCUAGUUGGUGAGGUAACGGCUCACCAAGGCGACGAUGCGUAGCCGACCUGAGAGGGUGAUCGGCCACACUGGGACUGAGACACGGCCCAGACUCCUACGGGAGGCAGCAGUAGGGAAUCUUCCGCAAUGGACGAAAGUCUGACGGAGCAACGCCGCGUGAGUGAUGAAGGUUUUCGGAUCGUAAAACUCUGUUGUUAGGGAAGAACAAGUACCGUUCGAAUAGGGCGGUACCUUGACGGUACCUAACCAGAAAGCCACGGCUAACUACGUGCCAGCAGCCGCGGUAAUACGUAGGUGGCAAGCGUUGUCCGGAAUUAUUGGGCGUAAAGCGCGCGCAGGCGGUUUCUUAAGUCUGAUGUGAAAGCCCCCGGCUCAACCGGGGAGGGUCAUUGGAAACUGGGGAACUUGAGUGCAGAAGAGGAGAGUGGAAUUCCACGUGUAGCGGUGAAAUGCGUAGAGAUGUGGAGGAACACCAGUGGCGAAGGCGACUCUCUGGUCUGUAACUGACGCUGAGGCGCGAAAGCGUGGGGAGCGAACAGGAUUAGAUACCCUGGUAGUCCACGCCGUAAACGAUGAGUGCUAAGUGUUAGAGGGUUUCCGCCCUUUAGUGCUGCAGCAAACGCAUUAAGCACUCCGCCUGGGGAGUACGGUCGCAAGACUGAAACUCAAAGGAAUUGACGGGGGCCCGCACAAGCGGUGGAGCAUGUGGUUUAAUUCGAAGCAACGCGAAGAACCUUACCAGGUCUUGACAUCCUCUGACAACCCUAGAGAUAGGGCUUCCCCUUCGGGGGCAAAGUGACAGGUGGUGCAUGGUUGUCGUCAGCUCGUGUCGUGAGAUGUUGGGUUAAGUCCCGCAACGAGCGCAACCCUUGAUCUUAGUUGCCAGCAUUCAGUUGGGCACUCUAAGGUGACUGCCGGUGA